GAAGAAGAAGAAGAAGAAAAUGGAGAAUAAGCGAUUGAUGUAGAGGGAAAAAGAAAAGUAUUAUUAAAAUCGGGGUUGUAGUUCGCCAUUGAAAGAGAGAUCGAGACCUGGUGCCCCUGCCUGUGCUGAUUCCGGGGAAUGAAAGCUCAGAAGUCAGCAUGCAAGUGUAAACGUAUUGGCGUAUAAAGGCGGAAUCGGAUGCCCUGCCGAUGCUUCCAAGCAAAAUCCAAUUUAGCAAUUACAAG
Molecule: unclassified non-coding RNA, 245 nt
Filed under: Hevea brasiliensis (rubber tree)
Lineage: Eukaryota; Viridiplantae; Streptophyta; Magnoliopsida; Malpighiales; Euphorbiaceae
Source: RNAcentral